GCGCGUGGGUAACCUGCCUCAUACAGGGGGAUAACAGUUAGAAAUGACUGCUAAUACCGCAUAAGCGCACAAAACCGCAUGGUUUGGUGUGAAAAACUGAGGUGGUAUGAGAUGGACCCGCGUCUGAUUAGCUAGUUGGAGAGGUAACGGCUCACCAAGGCAACGAUCAGUAGCCGACCUGAGAGGGUGACCGGCCACAUUGGGACUGAGACACGGCCCAAACUCCUACGGGAGGCAGCAG
Molecule: ribosomal RNA, 241 nt
Filed under: uncultured bacterium
Lineage: Bacteria
Description: partial 16S ribosomal RNA
Rfam family: Bacterial small subunit ribosomal RNA
Source: RNAcentral